This 497-nucleotide ribosomal RNA is filed under the name uncultured bacterium. Its description in RNAcentral is "partial 16S ribosomal RNA". It matches the Rfam family "Bacterial small subunit ribosomal RNA", at positions 28 to 507 of the family's 1533-position model. The record is from RNAcentral.
GAUGAACGCUGGCGGCGUGCCUAAUACAUGCAAGUCGAGCGAACGGACGAGAAGCUUGCUUCUCUGAUGUUAGCGGCGGACGGGUGAGUAACACGUGGAUAACCUACCUAUAAGACUGGGAUAACUUCGGGAAACCGGAGCUAAUACCGGAUAAUAUUUUGAACCGCAUGGUUCAAAAGUAAAAGACGGUCUUGCUGUCACUUAUAGAUGGAUCCGCGCUGCAUUAGCUAGUUGGUAAGGUAACGGCUUACCAAGGCAACGAUGCAUAGCCGACCUGAGCGGGUGAUCGGCCACACUGGAACUGAGACACGGUCCAGACUCCUACGGGAGGCAGCAGUAGGGAAUCUUCCGCAAUGGGCGAAAGCCUGACGGAGCAACGCCGUGUGAGUGAUGAAGGUCUUCGGAUCGUAAAACUCUGUUAUUAGGGAAGAACAUAUGUGUAAGUAACUGUGCACAUCUUGACGGUACCUAAUCAGAAAGCCACGGCUAACUACGUG